GACGAACGCUGGCGGCGUGCUUAACACAUGCAAGUCGAACGGAAAGGCCUGCUUUCCCUUGUGGAUUGCGGGUACUCGAGUGGCGAACGGGUGAGUAACACGUGAGUGAUCUGCCCCCAACUUGGGUAUAAGCCUGGGAAACUGGGUCUAAUUCCCGAUAGGACUGCAGGGUGGUGCCUGUGGUGGAAAACGAUUUUCUAGUGGUUGGGGAUGAGCUCGCGGCCUAUCAGCUUGUUGGUGGGGUAAUGGCCUACCAAGGCGGCGACGGGUAGCCGGCCUGAGAGGGUGGACGGCCACAUUGGGACUGAGAUACGGCCCAGACUGCUACGGGAGGCAGCAGUGGGGAAUAUAGCACAAUGGGCGGAAGCCUGAUGCAGCGACGCCGCGUGGGAGAUGACGGCCUUCGGGUUGUAAACUCCUUUCGACCGAGAGGAAGCCACCUGGUUGGAAGGGUGGUGACGGUAGUGGUAGAAGAAGCACCGGCUAACUACGUG
RNAcentral lists this ribosomal RNA (494 nucleotides) under uncultured bacterium. Its description in RNAcentral is "partial 16S ribosomal RNA". It matches the Rfam family "Bacterial small subunit ribosomal RNA", at positions 28 to 507 of the family's 1533-position model. The record is from RNAcentral.